GGAGAAUCUAAGACUUCUGAAGAGUUUCUUGCUUCUUUCCUGUGGGGCAGUGACUCCACUUCCCAGCAGUAAUGGAAUAUCCUGAAUUAGCUACAUUAAUGUUAGAACCAUUUGGACCUCACCCAGGACUUCAACUACAUUAUGAGUAACUCCUGGACGAUUGGCACAGAAGGCACAAGGCAAAUACCUAUCUCUGUACACCCUGUGCUACUGUGUCAUGUGCUGCUCCAGGCAACUCCAAUGGAUUGGCCACCCUGGCCAAUGUGUGAGUUAUAAAGCAAUGAUGUGUAGCUAUUGAACCUACAAUUUGGUUAAAGUUAAACUCUCAAGUUUUAUAUGUUUACAAGCAUAUUGUCCUUUUGUUAAUUUCCUCCCCGUACUCAUUUCUUGACUUCUUUUAGUUUUACUAUGUAGUAAUUUUUAAAAUGUUAGUCAAAGUUAGUUAAUUUAAUUCACUUAGCAGAUUUUCCUGUAAUUUUGGUUAAACAGUAUCCUUUCUGUACAGGCCCUCCAAACACCAGCACUGAGUAGAAAGAGGCUCUGAUUCAUGAAAUGUGAAUUUAUGACAGUUGCCACUCUUAAAAAAAAAACAAACAGACAGAACU
RNAcentral lists this small RNA (605 nucleotides) under Pan troglodytes (chimpanzee). RNAcentral describes it as "retained intron". The record is from RNAcentral. Lineage: Eukaryota; Metazoa; Chordata; Mammalia; Primates; Hominidae.